Apis laboriosa (Himalayan honeybee) is the source of this 1026-nucleotide long non-coding RNA. RefSeq lists it as uncharacterized. Lineage: Eukaryota; Metazoa; Arthropoda; Insecta; Hymenoptera; Apidae. The transcript has 3 exons. The record is from RefSeq and is a predicted model, not a curated record.
ACUCGAUCCUUUCUGGACCAAGAUCAAACAGAAUUCCUUGACACGGAGGAGGAGAGGGGAAGGGCUUACAUUUUCAUCGUAAUCAAUCGCUGAUGAGCUCGCCGUCAGUAAUGACGGCCGACGUGUGCGGAAGUGUUGGAUGGAAAAUGUUUGGAUAAUCGCCGCUUAAUUGGAAACACGAUAACCUUCGAGAUAUUAGGUUCGUUUGCGGGAUCUGGGCCCCGAAUCAGGGAGAAGGUCUAACGGGUAGUAAAUUACUCAUUGGCCGCGAACCUUCGUUUUCGACCAGGUUUCUUUUUGGAACGAGGAUAAUUUCUUUCGAAACGAGAAAAGGAUUGAUUUAAUUUGGAUACUCGAUCUCUGAUCGGCGGAGGAACUGGAUGGACGAUGGAAUUGAUUUGCAAAAGAGAAGAGGAUAAAUUGUGUGGUAAAUUGUGUGUGAAGUUGAAUUUAUUUUUUUUAUGCAACAUUUUGAAAUAAAAAAGGAUCGUCAAUAGAUAAUGAGAAGGUAAAAUAAAAUAAAUAAGUUAAACGAUAAAUUUGGAUUUAUCGGUGUUGGGCCAUUUUUAUUAACCCAACCCACUUUGUAACUUCAACAAUUGACAAUUUGAUCGAUGACACUGUCGUUAAUUAUUAUCUGCCUAUCUAAAAUAUCUUUUAAAAAUCACCAACAGGAAUCCAAAUAUACAAAUUUAAAAUUGCACAAGUUUCACCUGCUGAUCAUUUUACGAACUAUUCCACUUCUUGGCAAUGUUAUCAACAAUAUCUGCGUAAAUUAUAAUGAACUGACGUUCGUAGCUGCCAAAAUAUUCGAAGAAAUUACAGUGCAACAACAAGGGGUACGUAAUAUAAAGAAGAGGUCUCAAGUUUCAGACUUGAAGCGCAGACAGGAGGAAGCCUGUUUUUCGAAGCAAUCGAAUCACCAAUGAACCGUAACCACCAUCCCUCUCCCUCUCCCCCAGAAUAGACUAUUUUAAUUCAAUAUCCGUUAACUUCACAGUCGACUUAUUUUCACUAGUGUCGUAA